UCCCUGCUGGCUCAGACGAUAAAGAAUCCACCUGCAAUGUGGGAGACCUGGGUUCGAUCCCUGGGUUGGGAA
Molecule: transfer RNA, 72 nt
Organism: Ovis aries (sheep)
Lineage: Eukaryota; Metazoa; Chordata; Mammalia; Artiodactyla; Bovidae
Rfam family: tRNA
About the family: Transfer RNA (tRNA) molecules are approximately 80 nucleotides in length.
Source: Rfam